AUUGAACGCUGGCGGCAGGCCUAACACAUGCAAGUCGAGCGGAUGAAGGGAGCUUGCUCCUGGAUUCAGCGGCGGACGGGUGAUUAUGCCUUAGGAUUCGCCCGGUUGUUGGGGGUUAACUUCCGAAACGGGGCCCUAUUCCGCCUUCCUUCCGGGGGAGGAAGUGGGGGAUUCUUCGGACCUCCGCCUUCCGAUUGAGCCUAGGUCGGAUUAGCUAGUUGGUGGGGUAAAGGCCUACCAAGCCGACGAUCCGUAACUGGUCUGAGAGGAUGAUCAGUCACACUGGAACUGAGACACGGUCCAGACUCCUACGGGAGGCAGCAGUGGGGAAUAUUGGACAAUGGGCGAAAGCCUGAUCCAGCCAUGCCGCGUGUGUGAAGAAGGUCUUCGGAUUGUAAAGCACUUUAAGUUGGGAGGAAGGGCAGUAAGUUAAUACCUUGCUGUUUUGACGUUACCAACAGAAUAAGCACCGGCUAACUUCGUG
This 484-nucleotide ribosomal RNA is filed under the name uncultured bacterium. RNAcentral's name for it is "partial 16S ribosomal RNA". It matches the Rfam family "Bacterial small subunit ribosomal RNA", at positions 30 to 507 of the family's 1533-position model. The record is from RNAcentral.